Molecule: long non-coding RNA, 2278 nt
Filed under: Pan troglodytes (chimpanzee)
Lineage: Eukaryota; Metazoa; Chordata; Mammalia; Primates; Hominidae
Description: long non-coding RNA NONPTRT012926
Source: RNAcentral
GCGACAGCCAGACUCUGUCUCAAAAACAAACAAAAAAAGAGGCCAGAUGAAGAGCUCGAACCACGAGCUUCUACAUGUUAACCAGGGUAAAGAGCAACCGCUGACAGGAAGGGGCCCAGCAGUCAACCCCCGGGAAGGCCAGGAUGUGGCCUUGUUUCGGCAAGGCCGCCCUAUCGCCACGGAGAUGGGCAGGCAGGAGACAUCCCCAGUAAGUCGGACCCAGGUGGGGAUCAGGAGGUUUCAGGAAAACACAAGUUAUGCAGUGGGGCAGGUGAGGCUCAGCCUGUCCUGAGUGUCAUGGGAACAGCUCUGGAAGUGACUCCUCUGUCCUCUGGAAUCUGGACCAGAUGGGGGCUUCUCCAGACAUCUGUGCUCAGCAGAUGCGACAGACGGCCCCUCGAGUGUAGCCCCAGAUCCAGCACCGGCCCAAGCAGGUGGGAGCUGUAAGUUGAUCCGAGCUCUCCAGUCCCUGCGCUGGGCUGAGGGAUGCACGAUGAGCGAGACUGGGAUCCUGGUGUCAGGGAGUCACCAGCCACGGAGGGCGCCAUGUGCAUGGAGGAGGUGGCAAGGAAGAGGUGACUGGGAAGGGGAGAAGCAGAGAGGCCAGGAGGAGGCCGGGGCCUGCGCUGGGGGGUGGAGGAACUCAUGCCCGGUAAGGGCAUGGGCGGGGAGUGAAGUGGGAGUGGAGUGGGAGGCAGGCUUGGAGGAGUCGGUGCCUUGGGAUGUGGGACAGUGAGGAACAAGGCACAAACAACCAGUCAGUGCUCAGGGGAAUCAAGAAGUUGGGAUGGGCAGCAGGGGUCCAGGGUGGAGAUGGGCUGGAGGGGGAGGAGGGCACCAACCAGGGAAGGCCCCUCAGGGGCUUGAUCCUGUAGUUCUGGGCCUCGCAGAGCCAGCCACACGUCCGAGCUCCUAGGUGAUUUUAAGAACUAGCUCUUGCUGGGCCGCACCCAGGCAGAGCUGCCCGUUCAGUGGCUGGGCUGGCCCAGCACCUCCCAGGUGAUCCUGUUGCGCCAGGUCAAUGGUCUGGAGAGUUAUCAGCCGCAAGAGGCACCGUCAGGUUUGCCCUUUUGAGGCCCACAUGGCCGCUGGUGUGAGACGCGGAUGUGCACGGUGAGGCAGUGAGGGGCUGCAGGGUGAGGAGCCCCAGCCAUGUGCGGUUCAGGGUCCCCGCAGCACUCGCCCAAGGACACUGGGAGCUGGCGGAGGCCUGGGCAGGAGCAGGAAACUGAAGGAGGAGGAGGGGCCUCACUCAUCACCUGAUGAGAUCUCCACACUUUGCAGAAGGGGAAACCGAGGCUCACAGCGAGGAACUUGGUCAGCAAGACCAGGCCCCUCCACCCUGCCCGCGUUUCCUGCACUGCACUGGAUCAAACCGGUUUGAUCCUUGAUAAUGCCUCCGACAAAUAUUUGAUGAGGGAGGAGGCUGAGAGAGGUGAGGAAAUCAGUUUCUCAGGGACAGGCUGGACACAGGGGUCAUGCACCGGGUAGCUGUGAGGGCAGGGGUGGCGUCUCACCUCAGGGACACAGCUCCUGGGGAGGGCGGCAGAGACCCUGACAGUCUCGCCUCGCAGGCGUCUUUCUCCAGGCUAGAAACCAAUGACUCAUCUCUCAGGCUCUCUAGCAAACAGUGGGGCCCACACACCGCAGUUCUGGUCAAAUGUUUCCCUGAGGGCUACGGAGCCUGGUCUUGCCGAAUACAAAGAGGAGGCUCUCAGCCGUCUGCUUUCUUCCUGCAGGAAUCCUGGGCGUGAUCUCCAUCCAAUACGUGCAGCCACGUGGAGACGCUGUGGGGAUUCUUGUUGCUCGUGACUGAGUAUUCCCAACUGGUUGUAUUUGUUUUUUAGGGGCUGUGGAACAAAUCACCACAAACUGGAGGGCCGAAAACACCAGCAAUGGGCUCCCUCUUGGUUCUGGAGCCGAGAAGGCAGAAAUCAAGGCGUCGUCAGGGUUGUUCCUUCUGGGGCCUCAGAGCAGGACUCUGUUCCCUGCCCGUCCCCAGCUCCGGUGGUUGGCGGCCUUCCUCGGCCUGUGGCCCUGCACUCCAAUCGCUGCCUCUGUUGUCACUUGGCCCCCCAUGUGCCUCUGUGUCUCAGAAGGACACAAGUCAUAUUGAAUUAAGGACCCUCCCUACCCCAGCAUGACCCCGUUUUAACUUAGAACUUUCACAAUGAUCUGAUUUGCAAAGAAGGCUGGAUUCUGAGGUCCUGGGAAGGACAUGAAUUUUGGGGGAUGCUGUUCACCUCAGUACACCGGUGCAGAGUUCGGUGACACCGCC